UUUGAUGGCGACCGGCGCACGGGUGAGUAACACGUAUCCAACCUGCCGAUGACUCGGGGAUAGCCUUUCGAAAGAAAGAUUAAUACCCGAUGGCAUAGUUCUUCCGCAUGGUGGAACUAUUAAAGAAUUUCGGUCAUCGAUGGGGAUGCGUUCCAUUAGGUUGUUGGCGGGGUAACGGCCCACCAAGCCUUCGAUGGAUAGGGGUUCUGAGAGGAAGGUCCCCCACAUUGGAACUGAGACACGGUCCAAACUCCUAAGGGAGGCAGCAUG
RNAcentral lists this ribosomal RNA (270 nucleotides) under uncultured bacterium. Its description in RNAcentral is "partial 16S ribosomal RNA". It matches the Rfam family "Bacterial small subunit ribosomal RNA", at positions 84 to 353 of the family's 1533-position model. The record is from RNAcentral.